GUCUAUUCUGCCCAUUGAGAAAAAUUCUUUAACGGCCGCGGUAUUCUAACUGUGCAAAGGUAGCAUAAUCAGUAGCUUCUUAAUUGGAGGCUUGUAUGAACGAUUAGAUAAGAAUUAAACUGUCUUUUCUUAAUUGAGUUGAAUUUUAUUUUUAAGUGAAAAAGCUUAAAUAUUUCAGGGGGACGAUAAGACCCUAUAAAUCUUCAUGUAAUUGGUUCUUGAAUGGUAAUAUAUUUUUGAGUGUUAAUUUAUUGUUAAGAAAAAAUUCAUUGUGCUGGGGCGGUAGAAAUAUAGUGAAACUGUUUGUAAAAAAUAACAAAUAUAUUUGUAAAGUUAAAGAUCUUAGUUAUAGAUUUAAAGAAUAAGUUACUUUAGGGAUAACAGCAUGAUUUCUUUUGAGAGUUCAAAUCGAAAAAGAAGUUUGUGACCUCGAUGUUGAAUUAAAAUUUCCU
RNAcentral lists this ribosomal RNA (452 nucleotides) under Allopetrolisthes angulosus. RNAcentral's name for it is "partial 16S large subunit ribosomal RNA". It matches the Rfam family "Bacterial large subunit ribosomal RNA", at positions 1852 to 2548 of the family's 2925-position model. The record is from RNAcentral. Lineage: Eukaryota; Metazoa; Arthropoda; Malacostraca; Decapoda; Porcellanidae.